Molecule: long non-coding RNA, 520 nt
Organism: Scylla paramamosain (green mud crab)
Lineage: Eukaryota; Metazoa; Arthropoda; Malacostraca; Decapoda; Portunidae
Exons: 3
Source: RefSeq, a predicted model, not a curated record
AGAAGGAAUAGCGUUAGUGUUCACACCAACUCGUCAGACAUCGUGUUAAGUGUCGCAGUGCUCUAGUGACGUGAGCCUCAGCUUACAUAUACGUACUUUGCCGGCUGCUUAGAUGUGUGCAGGGCAAGAUUCCCACAAUUAAGGACCGGCGGCUCCCUAACUUCCUCCCGCGCCACGCCAGGAAACCUCGGUAAAGAUUCAUCAACGCCAAGCCAGAUAAACAUCACACCAGCUUUGCAAACCCAUCUGUUUUACAUCCUGCCGCCAGCUCCCCUCCGUGUUAAAACAUUGGAUUCGAGUCGAGGGCCCCAUUUCUGUAAAUUUCUGGCAACAGGAGGGACACUGACCAAGGGCAACAAAAAUUCAAUAAAUAAAAAAAGCCCACUGAGAUAUAUACCAGUGCAGCGUCCGUCAAGGGUUUCAUACUGGCGAUCAGAAAGACAAAAAGCAUUCUGAGUGACUGAUUGAUUAAGAAGCUUGUUAACGAAGAUGGAUGCAGAAUAUAAGACAUCAUAGCUGC